UCAAAAAUGUCAAAAAAUUGACAAAGCAGAGGGACAUUUAUAGGAGCAAAAACAAACAAAACCAGGAAAAAAGAAGGCUUCACUGCAGGCAAUGAACUUUCGAUUUCCUGGUCCAUCUAAACAUAAUCCCAUUCCUUUUGAAACAUACAUCAUACAAACAGUAGCCUGUGGGUGGCUUGCAUGUUGAUGUAAUCCAUUAGUAAUUAAUCACAGCUUCAUAAGCA
Long non-coding RNA from Anguilla anguilla (European eel), 224 nucleotides. RefSeq lists it as uncharacterized. Lineage: Eukaryota; Metazoa; Chordata; Actinopteri; Anguilliformes; Anguillidae. The record is from RefSeq and is a predicted model, not a curated record. The transcript has 2 exons.